UACGUAGGGGGCAAGCGUUGUCCGGAUUUAUUGGGCGUAAAGGGCGCGUAGGCGGUUUCUUAAGUUUGAAGUGACGGUGGGUGGCUUAACUACCCAAGGCCUUUGAAAACUGGGGAACUUGAGGACCAGAGAGGGACAUAGAAUUCCGGGUGGAGUGGUGAAAUGCGUAGAUAUCCGGAGGAAUACCAAAGGCGAAGGCAGUGUCCUGGAGGGUUAACUGACGCUGAGGCGCGAAAGCUAGGGGAGCGAACAGG
This 254-nucleotide ribosomal RNA is filed under the name uncultured bacterium. Its description in RNAcentral is "partial 16S ribosomal RNA". It matches the Rfam family "Bacterial small subunit ribosomal RNA", at positions 524 to 776 of the family's 1533-position model. The record is from RNAcentral.